Molecule: ribosomal RNA, 497 nt
Filed under: uncultured bacterium
Lineage: Bacteria
Description: partial 16S ribosomal RNA
Rfam family: Bacterial small subunit ribosomal RNA
Source: RNAcentral
GAUGAACGCUGGCGGCGUGCCUAAUACAUGCAAGUCGAGCGAACGGACGAGAAGCUUGCUUCUCUGAUGUUAGCGGCGGACGGGUGAGUAACACGUGGAUAACCUACCUAUAAGACUGGGAUAACUUCGGGAAACCGGAGCUAAUACCGGAUAAUAUUUUGAACCGCAUGGUUCAAAAGUGAAAGACGGUCUUGCUGUCACUUAUAGAUGGAUCCGCGCUGCAUUAGCUAGUUGGUAAGUUAACGGCUUACCAAGGCAACGAUGCAUAGCCGACCUGAGAGGGUGAUCGGCCACACUGGAACUGAGACACGGUCCAGACUCCUACGGGAGGCAGCAGUAGGGAAUCUUCCGCAAUGGGCGAAAGCCUGACGGAGCAACGCCGCGUGAGUGAUGAAGGUCUUCGGAUCGUAAAACUCUGUUAUUAGGGAAGAACAUAUGUGUAAGUAACUGUGCACAUCGUGACGGUACCUAAUCAGAAAGCCACGGCUAACUACGUG